RNAcentral lists this transfer RNA (65 nucleotides) under Muscidifurax sinesensilla. RNAcentral's name for it is "tRNA-Tyr". Lineage: Eukaryota; Metazoa; Arthropoda; Insecta; Hymenoptera; Pteromalidae. The record is from RNAcentral.
AGUAAUAUGUCUGAUAAAAGUAAUAAAUUGUAAAUUUAUUUAUAGAAUUUAAAUUCUUGUUACUA